UCCGCCUAGAGCAGCAUCAACCUACUGUAGAUCUAUCAGUGGCUGGCACAAAUUUUACUGUAAAUCUUCCUUUUCUCGUCCAAACCGAGGGGGGCGUUCUCAAUCUUUCUCUGGCUAUCGAGGUGCAACCAACACCAACUCUUACAGAGGAUCACGAGGCAGUGGGCGUGGUCGCUCUCAGCCCUCCAAAAUGGUUUGCCAAGUAUGCAACAAAACUGGUCAGACUGCUCUCCGUUGUUACCACAGGCACGAUGACAACUAUCAAAGUGAAUCAUCCAACAUACAAGCCUAUGUUGCCUCGUCAUCUCAAAAUUAUGAUCCUUCUUGGUAUCCCGACAUUGGCACAACGCAUCAUCUCACUUCUGACUUUGCCAAUCUCAAUGUUAAAGCUAAGGAAUACACUGGAUUUGAUCAGAUUCGAAUGGGUAACGGACCAAGCAACAGGGACAAUUCUACUGCACGGGCCGAGUAAACAUGGGUUGUACCGACUCUUACCCAUCACAAAGUCAUCUCCUUCAGCUCUCAUUGGUGAACGUACCUCUUUCUCCCAUUGGCACUCUCGCUUAGGCCAUCCUGCUUUCAACAUUAUUCGAAGAGUCAUCUCCCAAUUCAACCUUCCAGUAUAAUCCAAUAAGUCAGAACUUACAUGUUCUUCAUGUUUAAGUUCCAAAAUCAAACAAUUACCUUUCUCUCGGUCUUCUAGUCGUUCCUUGAGUCCUGUUGAGUUAAUUUACACUGAUGUAUGGGGUCUUUCCCCUAUUCUUUCAAAUAAUGGAAAUCGUUAU
Molecule: long non-coding RNA, 785 nt
Organism: Juglans microcarpa x Juglans regia
Lineage: Eukaryota; Viridiplantae; Streptophyta; Magnoliopsida; Fagales; Juglandaceae
Exons: 2
Source: RefSeq, a predicted model, not a curated record